UACGUAGGUGGCAAGCGAUACUCGGAAUCACUAGGCGUAAAGCGCAGGUAGGCGGUUCGAUAAGUCUGUUGUGAAAGCUCCCGGCUUAACUGGGAGAGGUCAACGGAAACUGUCGGGCUAGAGUGUGGUAGAGGUAGCUGGAAUUCCCGGUGUAGCGGUGAAAUGCGUAGAUAUCUGGAGGAACACCGGCGGCGAAGGCGGCAUUCUGGACCAAUAUUGACGCUGAGGAGCGAAAGCCAGGGGAGCAAACGGG
RNAcentral lists this ribosomal RNA (253 nucleotides) under uncultured bacterium. RNAcentral describes it as "partial 16S ribosomal RNA". It matches the Rfam family "Bacterial small subunit ribosomal RNA", at positions 524 to 776 of the family's 1533-position model. The record is from RNAcentral.